Molecule: long non-coding RNA, 188 nt
Organism: Nematolebias whitei (Rio pearlfish)
Lineage: Eukaryota; Metazoa; Chordata; Actinopteri; Cyprinodontiformes; Rivulidae
Exons: 4
Source: RefSeq, a predicted model, not a curated record
UGCUCGGCCUGUGGAGGAUUAAAGAGAACUCAAUCGUCUCAUUUAAGUUCUUCACUCACACCAACCAUACCAGACAAAAAGUUUAAUACGAAAGAAGAAAGACGCAGAGCCGAUCCUGCUUAUGAGAUCAUGGAGAGUCGUGUGCCGGAGAGGAACUCCGAGGCAGAGGAGAGAAGCAAGUACGAGCU